GACGAACGCUGGCGGCGUGCUUAACACAUGCAAGUCGAACGGAAAGGCCCUGCUUUUGUGGGGUGCUCGAGUGGCGAACGGGUGAGUAACACGUGAGUAACCUGCCCUUGACUUUGGGAUAACUUCAGGAAACUGGGGCUAAUACCGGAUAGGAGCUCCUGCUGCAUGGUGGGGGUUGGAAAGUUUCGGCGGUUGGGGAUGGACUCGCGGCUUAUCAGCUUGUUGGUGGGGUAGUGGCUUACCAAGGCUUUGACGGGUAGCCGGCCUGAGAGGGUGACCGGCCACAUUGGGACUGAGAUACGGCCCAGACUCCUACGGGAGGCAGCAGUGGGGAAUAUUGCACAAGGGGCGGAAGCCUGAUGCAGCAACGCCGCGUGCGGGAGGACGGCCUUCGGGUUGGAAACCGCUUUCGCCUGUGACGAAGCGUGAGGGACGGUAAUGGGUAAAGAAGCACCGGCGAACUACGU
This 467-nucleotide ribosomal RNA is filed under the name uncultured bacterium. RNAcentral's name for it is "partial 16S ribosomal RNA". It matches the Rfam family "Bacterial small subunit ribosomal RNA", at positions 28 to 506 of the family's 1533-position model. The record is from RNAcentral.